RNAcentral lists this unclassified non-coding RNA (410 nucleotides) under fungal sp. Its description in RNAcentral is "partial internal transcribed spacer region". The stretch from base 1 to 46 matches the Rfam family "Eukaryotic small subunit ribosomal RNA", at positions 1786 to 1831 of the family's 1831-position model. The record is from RNAcentral. Lineage: Eukaryota; Fungi.
AAGUCGUAACAAGGUUUCCGUAGGUGAACCUGCGGAAGGAUCAUUAACACGUAUCCAAACGUAAAAAAACCCCCCGUGAACAUUCAAUCCUGCUCUUGUAACCCGCGUAGUUUGCAAUCUCUGGUAAAUCAUAGCCCGGAAAGUAGUUUUGAUUCAGAGACCUCUGGCUACGUGAGAACAUUGGAACAGUUACAAUCGAGCGGUAGUUUUCCCCAAGCAGUUAGUGUCUGAAAGUGUCACUGAUUGUGCAAGGAUAGCGCUUCAACGAUUCCUGUAGACCGUACACUCGGCAGGAGCUAUGCCAAAGGGUCCCCAUGCCCCCUUAUAACCCCACAGUUUAAUGUGAAGCUCAAUGUAAUACAUUGGGUAAAAAAACCGAACAACUGUUAACAAUGGAUAUCUUGGUUCUC